Long non-coding RNA from Aegilops tauschii subsp. strangulata, 835 nucleotides. RefSeq lists it as uncharacterized. Lineage: Eukaryota; Viridiplantae; Streptophyta; Magnoliopsida; Poales; Poaceae. The record is from RefSeq and is a predicted model, not a curated record.
GCGCCGGCCGCUACCAAUUCCUCUUCGGCAGCAGCCCCACCACUCAUGCCACCUCCACCUCCUCCUUCCCCCUCCUGCCUGUUAUCUCUUCUUCCCCCUACCCUGUCUCCUUCGAUGCCGAUGUCGGCAUGUACGCCGCCGGCGCCGUCUGUCCCCGAGGUCGGCGACACCUCUUCUGUCUCCAUCUUUGAUGCAGAAGCCCCUCCGCCCGCCAUCUCCCCCUACCGCAUCUCAUCCGGCGCCGACACCGGCAAGUACGUCACCGUCAUCGUCCGCCCCCUGAUUCAGCAAUGGCUCUCAUGCAGCAGCGCCGGCGCCCACCAGCUUCACCUCCUUCCCAUGGAUGCGCUCCACGUCCAUCUAAUUCGAGUAUGAGCUGCUCCCCAGGACCUCUAUGCCGUUUGCAACUGGAGCACUACCCACGAGCUCCACUGUCCCGAAUAAGCAAAAGGAAGACCACUCCAACUCCAUUACAAAAUUUACAAAGAAAUGGUCUACAAAAAAGUUCUCAGUGUGCAGUCCAAGGUCUCUUUGUCAUCGACGCCUCUCCUUUGUUUGGUAGCUCCAAAUCUAAAUUUCAGGUCAGACCCCAAAUAUUUAUUUCCUUGUUGUGUGUGAUCGACAUCUUUUUCUGGCAGAAACCUGGUUGAUGUUAGAAAGUUACAAGAGGUCCAGUACAAUUUUUAUGUGCGUGUAUGUACAUUCUGUUUCUUUGCUUGGUACAAAAUAUAUUGCAAGGGAUGUUCUUUUUUGCUUCGUUUAAAUAUACUACAUACCCUCUACAGACUCAGCUUAUUUUCCUUUUUCUGAAUAUAACACAGACGAUUUGUAUGCA